GGUUUGGUGGUUCAGUGAUAGAAUUCUUGCCUUCCAUGCAGGAGACCGAGGUUCGAUUCCUGGCCAGUACA
Molecule: transfer RNA, 71 nt
Filed under: Loxodonta africana (African savanna elephant)
Lineage: Eukaryota; Metazoa; Chordata; Mammalia; Proboscidea; Elephantidae
Rfam family: tRNA
About the family: Transfer RNA (tRNA) molecules are approximately 80 nucleotides in length. Their secondary structure includes four short double-helical elements and three loops (D, anti-codon, and T loops).
Source: Rfam by way of RNAcentral